This 253-nucleotide ribosomal RNA is filed under the name uncultured bacterium. RNAcentral's name for it is "partial 16S ribosomal RNA". It matches the Rfam family "Bacterial small subunit ribosomal RNA", at positions 524 to 776 of the family's 1533-position model. The record is from RNAcentral.
UACGUAGGGUGCAAGCGUUAAUCGGAAUUACUGGGCGUAAAGCGUGCGCAGGCGGUUGUGGAAGUCUGACGUGAAAUCCCCGGGCUUAACCUGGGAAUGGCGUUGGAGACUGCACGGCUAGAGUGUGUCAGAGGGGGGUAGAAUUCCACGUGUAGCAGUGAAAUGCGUAGAUAUGUGGAGGAAUACCGAUGGCGAAGGCAGCCCCCUGGGAUAACACUGACGCUCAUGCACGAAAGCGUGGGGAGCAAACAGG